Molecule: ribosomal RNA, 306 nt
Filed under: Lactococcus sp.
Lineage: Bacteria; Bacillati; Bacillota; Bacilli; Lactobacillales; Streptococcaceae
Description: bacterial SSU rRNA
Rfam family: Bacterial small subunit ribosomal RNA
Source: RNAcentral
UAAAUGAGAGUUUGAUCCUGGCUCANNCGGCGUGCCUAAUACAUGCAAGUUGAACGCUUGAUUUUCACCGAAGCUUGCUUCACCGAAAAUCAAGAGUAGCGAACGGGUGAGUAACGCGUGGGUAACCUACCUAUCAGCGGGGGAUAACUAUUGGAAACNNAUAGCUAAUACCGCAUAACAAUGUUGGAUGCAUAUUCGACAUUUGAAAGUACCAAAUGGUACACUGAGAGAUGGACCCGCGUUGUAUUAGCUAGUUGGUAGUGUAAUGGACUACCAAGGCGAUGAUACAUAGCCGACCUGAGAGGG